AUUGAACGCUGGCGGCAUGCCUUACACAUGCAAGUCGAACGGUAACAGGUCUUCGGAUGCUGACGAGUGGCGAACGGGUGAGUAAUACAUCGGAACGUGCCCGAUCGUGGGGGAUAACGCAGCGAAAGCUGUGCUAAUACCGCAUACGAUCUACGGAUGAAAGCGGGGGAGCGCAAGACCUCGCGCGGACGGAGCGGCCGAUGGCAGAUUAGGUAGUUGGUGGGGUAAAGGCUCACCAAGCCUGCGAUCUGUAGCUGGUCUGAGAGGACGACCAGCCACACUGGGACUGAGACACGGCCCAGACUCCUACGGGAGGCAGCAGUGGGGAAUUUUGGACAAUGGGCGAAAGCCUGAUCCAGCCAUGCCGCGUGCAGGAUGAAGGCCUUCGGGUUGUAAACUGCUUUUGUACGGAACGAAAAGUCUCCUUCUAAUAAAGGGGGAUCAUGACGGUACCGUAAGAAUAAGCACCGGCUAACUACGUGCCAGCCGCCGCCGUAA
This 498-nucleotide ribosomal RNA is filed under the name uncultured bacterium. RNAcentral's name for it is "partial 16S ribosomal RNA". It matches the Rfam family "Bacterial small subunit ribosomal RNA", at positions 30 to 523 of the family's 1533-position model. The record is from RNAcentral.